AUUGAACGCUGGCGGCAUGCUUUACACAUGCAAGUCGAACGGCAGCGCGGGCUUCGGCCUGGCGGCGAGUGGCGAACGGGUGAGUAAUGCAUCGGAACGUGCCCAGUAGUGGGGGAUAGCCCGGCGAAAGCCGGAUUAAUACCGCAUACGACCUGAGGGUGAAAGCGGGGGACCGAAAGGCCUCGCGCUAUUGGAGCGGCCGAUGUCGGAUUAGCUAGUUGGUGGGGUAAAGGCUUACCAAGGCGACGAUCCGUAGCUGGUCUGAGAGGACGACCAGCCACACUGGGACUGAGACACGGCCCAGAAUCCUACGGGAGGCAGCAGUGGGGAAUUUUGGACAAUGGGGGCAACCCUGAUCCAGCCAUGCCGCGUGCGGGAAGAAGGCCUUCGGGUUGUAAACCGCUUUUGUUCGGGAAGAAAUCCUCUGGGCUAAUACCCCGGGGGGAUGACGGUACCGGAAGAAUAAGCACCGGCUAACUACGUG
RNAcentral lists this ribosomal RNA (484 nucleotides) under uncultured bacterium. RNAcentral describes it as "partial 16S ribosomal RNA". It matches the Rfam family "Bacterial small subunit ribosomal RNA", at positions 29 to 507 of the family's 1533-position model. The record is from RNAcentral.